RNAcentral lists this transfer RNA (64 nucleotides) under Candidatus Thioglobus sp. Its description in RNAcentral is "tRNA-Lys". It matches the Rfam family "tRNA". Rfam says of the family: Transfer RNA (tRNA) molecules are approximately 80 nucleotides in length. Their secondary structure includes four short double-helical elements and three loops (D, anti-codon, and T loops). Lineage: Bacteria; Pseudomonadati; Pseudomonadota; Gammaproteobacteria; Pseudothioglobaceae (SeqCode). The record is from RNAcentral.
GGUGAGUUAGGCCAUCUGACUUUUAAUCAGGUGGUCGCAGGUUCGAUCCCUGCACGCCCCACCA